UACAGAGGGUGCAAGCGUUGUUCGGAAUUACUGGGCGUAAAGCGUGCGUAGUCGGUAUUGAGAGUCGCGGGUGAAAUCCCCAAGCUUAACUUGGGAACUGCCUGCGAGACCUCAGUACUAGAGUGUGAGAGGGGAUAGUGGAAUACCCAGUGUAGCGGUGAAAUGCGCAGAUAUCGGGAGGAACACCUAUGGCGAAGGCAGCUCGCUGGGACGUUACUGACGCUGAGACGCGAAAGCGUGGGGAGCAAACAGG
Molecule: ribosomal RNA, 253 nt
Filed under: uncultured bacterium
Lineage: Bacteria
Description: partial 16S ribosomal RNA
Rfam family: Bacterial small subunit ribosomal RNA
Source: RNAcentral